RNAcentral lists this ribosomal RNA (253 nucleotides) under uncultured bacterium. Its description in RNAcentral is "partial 16S ribosomal RNA". It matches the Rfam family "Bacterial small subunit ribosomal RNA", at positions 524 to 776 of the family's 1533-position model. The record is from RNAcentral.
UACGAAGGGGGCUAGCGUUGUUCGGAUUUACUGGGCGUAAAGGGCGCGUAGGCGGCGUAACAAGUCACUUGUGAAAUCUCCGGGCUUAACCCGGAGCGGCCAAGUGAUACUGUUGUGCUAGAGUGCGGAAGGGGCUACUGGAAUUCUCGGUGUAGCGGUGAAAUGCGUAGAUAUCGAGAGGAACACCUGCGGCGAAGGCGGGUAGCUGGGCCGACACUGACGCUGAGGCGCGAAAGCCAGGGGAGCGAACGGG